GACGAACGCUGGCGGCGUGGAUUAGGCAUGCAAGUCGAACGGUAGGAUACCUUCGGGUAUCUGAGAGUGGCGAACGGGUGAGUAACACGUAGGUGAUCUACCCUCAAGAUUGGGACAACCCAGGGAAACUUGGGCUAAUACCGGAUGAAAGCAGCAGUGAUGUUGUUUGAAAGGUGGCGUAAGCUGCCGUUUGGGGAUGAGCCUGCGCUCUAUUAGUUAGUUGGCGGGGUAAAGCCCACCAAGGCGAUGAUAGAUAGGCGGCCUUAACGGGUGUCGCCCACACUGGGAUUGGAGAUACGGCCCAGACUCCUACGGGAGCAGCAGUCGAGAAUAGUCUACAAUGGUCGGAAGACUGAUAGUGCGACGCCGCGUGAACGAUGAAUCCCUUCGGGGUUAAAGUUCUUUUAAUGUGAGCAGUGCUUCUUAUAUUAACAGUAUGGGGAAGAGAUAUUAGCAUAUGAAUAAGCAACGGCUAACUCCGUGCCAGC
RNAcentral lists this ribosomal RNA (488 nucleotides) under uncultured bacterium. RNAcentral describes it as "bacterial SSU rRNA". It matches the Rfam family "Bacterial small subunit ribosomal RNA", at positions 28 to 512 of the family's 1533-position model. The record is from RNAcentral.